This 253-nucleotide ribosomal RNA is filed under the name uncultured bacterium. Its description in RNAcentral is "partial 16S ribosomal RNA". It matches the Rfam family "Bacterial small subunit ribosomal RNA", at positions 524 to 776 of the family's 1533-position model. The record is from RNAcentral.
GACCUAGGUGGCGAACGUUAUCCGGAAUCACUGGGCGUAAAGGGUGCGUAGGCGGGGCUUUAAGUCAGGGGUGAAAUCCUGGAGCUCAACUCCAGAACUGCCUUUGAUACUGAAGAUCUUGAGUUCGGGAGAGGUGAGUGGAACUGCGGGUGUAGAGGUGAAAUUCGUAGAUAUUCGCAAGAACACCAGUGGCGAAGGCGGCUCACUGGCCCGAUACUGACGCUGAGGCACGAAAGCGUGGGGAGCAAACAGG